This is a long non-coding RNA of Aethalodelphis obliquidens (Pacific white-sided dolphin), 484 nucleotides long. RefSeq lists it as uncharacterized. The transcript is spliced from 4 exons. The record is from RefSeq and is a predicted model, not a curated record. Lineage: Eukaryota; Metazoa; Chordata; Mammalia; Artiodactyla; Delphinidae.
AGUGCUGGCUGUGUCACAGGGCCGGUCAACUGCUCAGAGAUCACUGGGGUGCAGCUCUAACAGGAUCGCAAAGCGAAUCCUGCAGAGAAGGAGGGGGAUCUAAGAAAACCAACAGAACCUCCUCAAGAAGUUGACGCAGAAAAGGUGCCUGGGAGGAAGUGUUCUGAGUCUUCACUUGACUGAACCUCAUGGAAGCAGAGGUGGGGUGGUCUGUUGAGAAAUGAGGAUCUAGAACUGACUGGUGAAGAGAGAGGUGAUGUUUUGGGUAUUUUCUAGAGAUAUAGCAGAGUGCAGCCUGAGCUUGGAUGCUGGCAACACCACCCACCUGCUGGUGAAUUUGGGUAGUUCUUUGCCUGUGUUUCCUACAAAAGUACCUACUUUUCAGUUUUAUUAUGUGGACUCUUGAAUUAAUAUAUGUAUAUGACUUAGAACAUAUCUGGCACAGAUUUGUUUGUUAAAUAAAAUAAAAAAUUUUAUCUCACAA